ACUCCUACGGGAGGCAGCAGUGGGGAAUAUUGCACAAUGGGCGCAAGCCUGAUGCAGCCAUGCCGCGUGUGUGAAGAAGGCCUUCGGGUUGUAAAGCACUUUCAGUCGUGAGGAAGGUAGUGUAGUUAAUAGCUGCAUUAUUUGACGUUAGCGACAGAAGAAGCACCGGCUAACUCCGUGCCAGCAGCCGCGGUAAUACGGAGGGUGCGAGCGUUAAUCGGAAUUACUGGGCGUAAAGCGCAUGCAGGUGGUUUGUUAAGUCAGAUGUGAAAGCCCGGGGCUCAACCUCGGAAUAGCAUUUGAAACUGGCAGACUAGAGUACUGUAGAGGGGGUAGAAUUUCAGGUGUAGCGGUG
RNAcentral lists this ribosomal RNA (355 nucleotides) under uncultured bacterium. Its description in RNAcentral is "bacterial SSU rRNA". It matches the Rfam family "Bacterial small subunit ribosomal RNA", at positions 335 to 683 of the family's 1533-position model. The record is from RNAcentral.